Molecule: long non-coding RNA, 391 nt
Organism: Magallana angulata
Lineage: Eukaryota; Metazoa; Mollusca; Bivalvia; Ostreida; Ostreidae
Exons: 3
Source: RefSeq, a predicted model, not a curated record
ACGGGAGCGGUGGUCAAUGUGCUUUAUCAGAGUACUAUAGACAAACCGCCACCUGGUGGGUAAACCUGACCAGCAUCCACAGUAUCCAUCACAUCACUAUAUACUUCGCGACGGACAACUUUGGAUGUCCAGUAACAGGGUUUUACGGAUCUAACUGCUCCAUUCCGUGUCCUGAUGUCAACUGUCAGUACUGCCACAUAGAGACGGGCACCUGUCAGGGAUGUAAACCUGGGUAUCAAGGUUAUCACUGUGAAUUAGCAUGUCCUUUUGGCUAUUUUGGAAGUAAAUGUACUGAACGAUGCAAUGUCACAUGUGCCGGAUGUAAUAAUGUGAAUGGCGUUUGCGACUCUGGAUGCAUUCCUGGCUGGAGAGGUUAUCACUGCAACGAAGA